This 29-nucleotide non-coding RNA is filed under the name Rattus norvegicus (Norway rat). The record is from RNAcentral. Lineage: Eukaryota; Metazoa; Chordata; Mammalia; Rodentia; Muridae.
UAUGAAAAUUUCCCGAAAGACAGGGACGA